Apis florea (little honeybee) is the source of this 414-nucleotide long non-coding RNA. NCBI's taxonomy places the organism in Eukaryota, Metazoa, Arthropoda, Insecta, Hymenoptera, Apidae. The record is from RefSeq and is a predicted model, not a curated record.
GAGUGUGUAGUAAUGUCGCGAGCCUCUCGGAAAAAAAAACCAGCCUCUCGAAGGAAACAGAGGAGUAGGAGGAUGAAAGGGAGGAGGGGAGAGGGGGGGAGGGAUAGAAACGAGCCACCGCCCAUACACGCUUCAUCAAUCUUCGCUUCUCGCGAGAGGACUAACGACGUCGCAGCGGGGAGAUAAACGGACUUGGCUGGUCGGGGGUAAUCUCGGUAUAUCAGUUGGCACGGUUAUUGUUGGCGAAGCCAACUGUGGAAAGAAAGCUGUCUGUUGUGGGGCCGUUGGUGAUCGAUCUUUCCUUUCAACGGUCUGCCAGUUCCUCUUAUUACCGGUUUCGAUAUCUUGAUCGCUAAUUAGCAAAAAUUAUUAUUUACGUUUUAAGGAUUAAAAUUUAAAUAUUUAUUAGAUUAA